CUUUAGUGACAACAUCAUUGAGGCGAGCUGGUGGCACACUCGUUCGACCCGAACGCCGUAAUUGUUCUACCGGUUCUGCUGGCUAAGGAGAUGGAGGAUCACGAGCUGGUGGUUCAGGUGUUGAGAUAUCUUCCUCGUCUGGCUCUUCUGACUCGAUCAGUAUACCUCUCCCAGCAUCAUCUUUCUUUCUCCAGCUCCACGCGUCAUCUUCAGUGAACCGAACAUCUCUGUUGACGAUCA
RNAcentral lists this long non-coding RNA (240 nucleotides) under Nicotiana benthamiana. RNAcentral's name for it is "long non-coding RNA (NBEN_LNC026267)". Lineage: Eukaryota; Viridiplantae; Streptophyta; Magnoliopsida; Solanales; Solanaceae. The record is from RNAcentral.